UGUACUGGUACACUUUUUCGUGUACCGGUACACUUUGGCAGAUUGCGAACUGGCAGUUCUGCAGGGGUGUUUUCGCUAUUGUAGCAAUGCUACAUAUGCCCGACGUCUCUUUGCUGGUCUCCUGAGCUGGGAAACACAGGAGGACAAGGAGAAGUCUUGAAGCUAGGAGCAAGGUUUGUUUGAGGGAAGGAUCUCAACCCUAGCUGGUUUCUAGGGUGGGUUGAAGCUUCUAAAGAGGUGGGAUUGGAAGGGUUCUAGCUUCCAUUUGGAGCUUGUGAAGGAAUUUCUUCACUAUAGGUGAGUUUUUGCUCUUUUGUCGAGUUGGUUAUUGAUUGAACUAUGUGUUGUUCGUAACGUUCGUGUGACACUCCUAGUUUAACCUUUAGGGAGCUAGGAAGCUUGUGGGCACCUUCGUCGGCGCAAACGAAGGCCGCGUGGAACUCUUGGUGGGUUUGGCCUCACCAAAACGGGAUAAAUCAUCCCUAUAAUGAUUUUUACUUAUCGUAAAAUAAAGAUACAUGCAUAUUCAUGCAAGAUAGAUUAUUUGUGAAUUUUAGAAUAUAUAAAAUGCACAUGUUAUGUAAAAUGUAUUUUUGGACCUCUAUGUAGUAGAGAGUUUGCAUGUUGGGCUUGAGCCUAUGGUUAGCACUCCUAUGUGUGAAUUUGGAUCAUAUUUCAUAUAGUGAAAAUGACAAUUGCAUUCUUGAA
This is a long non-coding RNA of Ananas comosus (pineapple), 708 nucleotides long. RefSeq lists it as uncharacterized. The record is from RefSeq and is a predicted model, not a curated record. The transcript is spliced from 3 exons. Lineage: Eukaryota; Viridiplantae; Streptophyta; Magnoliopsida; Poales; Bromeliaceae.